AGCUCACUAGUCGAGCGAUCCCGCGUGGAUAAUACACGGGCAUCAAACUGUCAACCGAAGCCGUGGGGUUAGUUAAUGACUAACCGGUAGGAGAGCAUUCCUGCCAGCUUUGAAGGUCACCCGCGAGAGUGACUGGAGCGGCAUGAAAAGCAAAUGUAGGCAUAAGUAACGAUAAUGGGGGCGAGAACCCCCCACGCCGCAAGACCAAGGAUUCCCCGGCAAUGUCAAUCAGCCGGGGGUCAGCCGGCCUCUAAGGCUCACCCGAGGGGGGAUGCCGACGAGAAACGGGUUAACAUUCCCGUGCUUCUCGUCACCGUGACGCGGUGACGGGGUGAUGAAUGGACCGCGCGCUGACGGAAUAGCGCGUUGAAGGCCGUACCCGAUGACGGUGGUAGUCAAGCACGCCACCGGAGGCGAAAGUCGAUAGUACCUCGAGGCCUCGGCCGAGGGGAUAGCGUCCAGGCAAUUUACCCCCUAGAAAACCCGCUAAACUUCAAGUGACGAGGAACCGUACUGUAAACGGACACACGUGGUCGGGUAGAACAUACCAAGGCGCUCGAGUGAUUCAUGGUCAAGGAACUAGGCAAAAUAGUCCUGUAACUUCGGGAAAAAGGACGCUCUAGUGAUAGAGCCGCAGAGUAAUGGCCCAGGCGACUGUUUACCAAAAACACAUGGCUAUGCCAAAUCGAAAGAUGACGUAUAUGGCCUGACACCUGCCCGGUGCCGGAAGGUUAAGAGGAGAGCUCAUCCGCGAGGAGAAGGUUUGAAUUGAAGCCCCGGUAAACGGCGGCCGUAACUAUAACGGUCCUAAGGUAGCGAAAUUCCUUGUCGGGUAAGUUCCGACCUGCACGAAUGGUGUAACGAUCUGGGCACUGUCUCGACCAUGAGCUCGGUGAAAUUGUAGUUCCGGUGAAGAUGCCGGGUACCCGCGACGGGACGGAAAGACCCCGUGAACCUUUACUGCAGCUUCGCGUUGUUCCCGGGCACGGGACGUGUAGGAUAGGUCGGAGGCUUUGAAGCGGAUUCGCCAGGAUUCGUGGAGCCAUCGUUGAAAUACGACCCUUCUCUUGUCUGGGAUCUAACCCUAAGUAUACGGGGACACCGCGUGGUGGGUAGUUUGACUGGGGUGGUCGCCUCCAAAAGCGUAACGGAGGCUUCUAAAGGUACCCUCGGGUUGGUUGGUAAUCAACCGUAGAGUGCAAUGGCACAAGGGUGCUUGACCGGGAGACCAACAAGUCGAUCGGGUGCGAAAGCAGGGCAUAGUGAUCCGGUGAUCCCGCGUGGAAGGGUCAUCGCUCAAAGGAUAAAAGGUACUCCGGGGAUAACAGGCUGA
RNAcentral lists this ribosomal RNA (1333 nucleotides) under human gut metagenome. Its description in RNAcentral is "bacterial LSU rRNA". It matches the Rfam family "Bacterial large subunit ribosomal RNA", at positions 1139 to 2485 of the family's 2925-position model. The record is from RNAcentral.